GACGAACGCUGGCGGCGUGCUUAACACAUGCAAGUCGAGCGGUAAGGCCCUUUCGGGGGUACGACGAGCGGCGAACGGGUGAGUAACACGUGGGUGACCUGCCUCUAGCUCUGGGAUAAGCCUGGGAAGCUGGGUCUAAUACCGGAUAUGACCUCGCGGUGCAUGUUGCGGGGUGGAAAGCCUUGUGCGGCUAGGGAUGGGCCCGCGGCCUAUCAGCUUGUUGGUGGGGUGAUGGCCUACCAAGGCGACGACGGGUAGCCGGCCUGAGAGGGCGGACCGGCC
This 282-nucleotide ribosomal RNA is filed under the name uncultured bacterium. Its description in RNAcentral is "partial 16S ribosomal RNA". It matches the Rfam family "Bacterial small subunit ribosomal RNA", at positions 28 to 309 of the family's 1533-position model. The record is from RNAcentral.